GACGAACGCUGGCGGCGUGCUUAACACAUGCAAGUCGAACGGAAAGGCCCUGCUUUUGUGGGGUGCUCGAGUGGCGAACGGGUGAGUAACACGUGAGUAACCUGUCCUUGACUUUGGGAUAACUUCAGGAAACUGGGGCUAAUACCGGAUAGGAGCUCCUGCUGCAUGGGGGGGGUUGGAAAGAUUCGGCGGUUGGGGAUGGACUCGCGGCUUAUCAGCUUGAUGGUGGGGUAGUGGCUUACCAAGGCUUUGACGGGUAGCCGGCCUGAGAGGGUGACCGGCCACAAGGGGACUGAGAGACGGACCAGUCUCCAACGGGAGGCAGCGGGGGGAAACAUGGCACAAUGGGCGGAAGCCUGAUGCAGCAACCCCGCGUGCGUGAUAACGUCCUUCGGGUUGAAAACCGAUUUCGCCUGUGACGAAGCGUUAGUGACGGUAAUUGGUAAGGAAGCAACGGCUAACUACGUG
Molecule: ribosomal RNA, 468 nt
Filed under: uncultured bacterium
Lineage: Bacteria
Description: partial 16S ribosomal RNA
Rfam family: Bacterial small subunit ribosomal RNA
Source: RNAcentral